This 497-nucleotide ribosomal RNA is filed under the name uncultured bacterium. RNAcentral describes it as "partial 16S ribosomal RNA". It matches the Rfam family "Bacterial small subunit ribosomal RNA", at positions 28 to 507 of the family's 1533-position model. The record is from RNAcentral.
GAUGAACGCUGGCGGCGUGCCUAAUACAUGCAAGUCGAGCGAACAGACGAGGAGCUUGCUCCUCUGACGUUAGCGGCGGACGGGUGAGUAACACGUGGAUAACCUACCUAUAAGACUGGGAUAACUUCGGGAAACCGGAGCUAAUACCGGAUAAUAUAUUGAACCGCAUGGUUCAAUAGUGAAAGACGGUUUUGCUGUCACUUAUAGAUGGAUCCGCGCCGCAUUAGCUAGUUGGUAAGGUAACGGCUUACCAAGGCAACGAUGCGUAGCCGACCUGAGAGGGUGAACCGCCACACUGGAACUGGGGCACGGUCCAGACUCCUACGGGAGGCAGCCGUAGGGAAUCUUCCGCAAUGGGCGAAAGCCUGACGGGGCAACGCCGGGUGAGUGAUGAAGGUCUUCGGAUCCUAAAACUCUGUUAUUAGGGAAAAACAAAUGUGUAAGUAACUAUGCACGUCUUGACGGUACCUAAUCAGAAAGCCACGGCUAACUACGUG